GACGAACGCUGGCGGCGUGCUUAACACAUGCAAGUCGAACGGAAAGGCCUCUUUCGGGGGGUACUCGAGUGGCGAACGGGUGAGUAACACGUGAGUAACCUGCCCUUGACUUUGGGAUAACUUCAGGAAACUGGGGCUAAUACCGGAUAGGAGCUCCUGCUGCAUGGUGGGGGUUGGAAAGUUUCGGCGGUUGGGGGUGGACUCGCGGCUUAUCAGCUUGUUGGUGGGGUAGUGGCUUACCAAGGCUUUGACGGGUAGCCGGCCUGAGAGGGUGACCGGCCACAUUGGGACUGGGAUACGGCCCAGACUCCUACGGGAGGCAGCAGGGGGGAAUAUUGCACAAUGGGUGGAAGCCUGAUGCAGCAACGCCGGGGGCGGGAUGACGGGCCUCGGGUUGGAAACCGCUUUCGCUCAUGACGAAGCUUUGUGUGACGGUAGUGGGUAAAGAAGCACCGGCUAACUACGUG
RNAcentral lists this ribosomal RNA (467 nucleotides) under uncultured bacterium. RNAcentral describes it as "partial 16S ribosomal RNA". It matches the Rfam family "Bacterial small subunit ribosomal RNA", at positions 28 to 507 of the family's 1533-position model. The record is from RNAcentral.